RNAcentral lists this small RNA (575 nucleotides) under Pan troglodytes (chimpanzee). RNAcentral describes it as "processed transcript". The record is from RNAcentral. Lineage: Eukaryota; Metazoa; Chordata; Mammalia; Primates; Hominidae.
UUCGGUGCAGAUGGAUGGACCGUCUGGGCUACGGAGUCCACGGGCCUGAAACGCAGUCGCUCCUGACCCGUCCUCCGCAACCCUCGUCCCACCAGGCCGCGGUUCCCGGAGCAGGCCGGCGGGUGGCAGGAAGACACCAGGCUGCAGGGGGCUGGAGAAGCAACACCCCUCUCCCUCCCCGCCAGAGAACUGGAGCGCGGGGACCUCGGUUGCGGAUGCUGGCGGCGAGCCGGGUUGCUAGGCGACAUCGAGACGGGAUUUCACCAUGUUGGUCAGACUGGUCUCGAACUCCUGACCUCAGAUGAUCCACCAGCCUCGGCCUCCCAAAGUGCUGGGAUUACAGGCGUGAGCCACCACGCCCAGCCGGGAAGCUUUUAAGGCCGGAUGUGACACAGACCCAGUUUCCACAGAUGAAACCUGCAAGUGUGGCUGGAAAACAACCUGUCCGGCUGCGUCUUAAGGACGAGGAAGACCGGGCAAGGGUUUUCCAGCAAAGACGCCCAAAGCAGCUCGCCCCAAGAGGCCCUUCGCUCAAGGAAUCGAGAAUGGCCGGGCAGACAGCGACUGGUCGCAGA